CGAGGUAUAGCUUAGUGGUAGAGUGCUUGCCUUGCAUGCACGAGGUCCUGGGUUCAAUCCCCAUUACCUCCA
Transfer RNA from Camelus ferus (Wild Bactrian camel), 72 nucleotides. It matches the Rfam family "tRNA". From Rfam's summary of the family: Transfer RNA (tRNA) molecules are approximately 80 nucleotides in length. Their secondary structure includes four short double-helical elements and three loops (D, anti-codon, and T loops). The record is from Rfam. Lineage: Eukaryota; Metazoa; Chordata; Mammalia; Artiodactyla; Camelidae.